RNAcentral lists this unclassified non-coding RNA (377 nucleotides) under uncultured fungus. RNAcentral describes it as "partial contains small subunit ribosomal RNA, internal transcribed spacer 1, and 5.8S ribosomal RNA". The stretch from base 1 to 73 matches the Rfam family "Eukaryotic small subunit ribosomal RNA", at positions 1759 to 1831 of the family's 1831-position model. The record is from RNAcentral. Lineage: Eukaryota; Fungi.
GCAAACUUGGUCAUUUAGAGGAAGUAAAAGUCGUAACAAGGUAACCGUAGGUGAACCUGCGGUUGGAUCAUUACGAAAUUCAAAACCAUCUGUGGGAGACGGUGGCGCAUUUUUUGCGCAGCCGGAUCCCCAGAUAUACACCCUUGUGAACGUUUCAUGUCUUUUGGCGGCUCCUCCGAGUGUCCGGGAUAAAAAUUUUGCAUUGUGUCUCGCAUUUUUUGUGUCUGACCAAACGGUUUUUAUUCUCGGGCCGGGCCGCCAGCAUACCACAAACUCCAAACAAUAUUCUUUUACCACUGAAACCAAAAUAAGAGAAACAAUGAGAAACAACUUUAGACAACGGAUCUCUUGGCUCUCGCAUCGAUGAAGAACGCAGC